Molecule: RNA transcript, 2561 nt
Organism: Osmia bicornis bicornis
Lineage: Eukaryota; Metazoa; Arthropoda; Insecta; Hymenoptera; Megachilidae
Gene: Cog2
Gene name: conserved oligomeric Golgi complex subunit 2
Exons: 13
Source: RefSeq, a predicted model, not a curated record
UCAGUUUCUGUUCGGCCUAAUUUUCGAUGAAACGUUGACUGUUCGGGCUCCACGCUACGUUUUCAACGCACAAAAUAGUUUAAAGUUAGGUCAAAAGCUGAUAUGAUUUUUAUACAAUUAUUGAAAAAACCGAAACAAAAAUGAUACAUGGGAUGCUUGUUUUUACAUAUAUACUGCAUUCUUUCGAUUGGAAACUAUGAAUGUGUUAAAUUUAUAAAAAAAUUUACUAAGAAAAGAGGUUUUCUUUUAUGAAGAAGACACCAUGUCGAAAGAAAAUAUUAAUCUACCAAAAGUCCCAAAAGAUUUGUGCUUCUCAGAACUUGAUUUCAUUCAGCAAAAUUUCAAUGUAGAUACUUUUCUACAAGAACAUAGAAAGAACACAAAAUUGGAAACGAUGCGAGAUGAUUUGGGAAUAUAUUUGAAAUUGUUAAGAUCCGCUAUGAUCGAUUUAAUCAACAGAGAUUAUACAGAUUUUGUGAAUUUAUCAAGUAAUCUUAUCGGUUUGGAUAAAGCUAUCAAUAACCUGCAAACACCGUUAGGUCAAUUGAAAGAGGAAAUAAUGCAAAUACGACAAACUUUGGACGACGAAAUUAUUGUAAUUUCUCAUAAUGUAAAUGAUUGCGAGAAACUUAGAGAAUACAAGAAGAGUAUAUUCAGCUUACAAUAUAUUUAUAAUUCUUUCAACAAAUUGUCAAACACAUUAUCUUUAAAUACAUUUCUUGAAAGUACAGUUAAAAUAGAUAUCUUGGAACAAAUUGCAGCAGAAUUCAGUCAGUUACAAUUUUACAUGUCCAGAUGCAAAUUGGAUAUUAUCAAUGAUAAACAAAAGGAAUAUGAAAAACUUGAACAGACUUAUAUGACGUAUCUUAACGAAUUGUUCUUGGCAUCUUUGCAAGAAAAAAAUUCUGAUUUUUUAAUUCGAUGUUUAAGAAUUUAUGUUACGCUUGACAAAAUAAACGAUGCAGAAAAUUUAAUAAGAAAAGAAGUUGUUAGUCCAUUGGUUCGUAGUGCAAUUAGCAUAGAAAACUUACAAACCAAUUCGCUUGGCCUACAAGAUAUUUACGAUAGAUUGUUGAAUAUUUUGAAUGUAGACCUCGAACUGCUUUUGGACAUCACAUCCAAAGUUUCCGCGGAGAAACGAAGAAUACAAUUCGAUUUUGUGGUAAACAGUUUUUGGAUCGAGGUGGAAGAAAAGAUGGAACAAUAUAUUAAAUGUGUUUUUGCACCCGGAGAUCCAGUAUUAUUUCAUUCGAGAUACAUUGCAACUCUCAAGUUUUUAGAGAAAUUGGAAGAUAAAUGUCUUACACACGAACCUUAUGUAGCAUUAAAAGAAAAUCCACAGUAUAAACGUUUUUUAAUAAAGUGGAAUUUACCAGUCUAUUUUCAAAUACGAUUUCAAGAAAUAGCCAGUGCGGUCGAAACGGUACUAACAGAACCAAUAUCACCAGCAUGUGUAAAGGGAACAUUAGAAACGUUUACGCAAAAGCAUUUUUCUCUUCAUGCAACCUAUAUCAUUGCGAUAAAUAUACAAAGAAUUUGGUCCAAAGACGUAUAUUUGAGUCAGCUUUUUCAUCGAUUUUGGAAAUUCACUCUUCAGAUAUGUGCCAGAUAUCAAAUGUGGAUUCAUAGAGCCCUUAAAGAAGUAUGGACAAUAGAAAACCAAGUAAAUAAUCCAAACAAAGCAGAACAUUCGACGAGGCUCAACUUUCUUAUUUGUUUGUACGAAGAUGUAAAGAAAUUUAUAGCCGCGUCUUCGCGUCUUUUAAACAUGAUCCAGUCGAAACUUGAACGAACAACUGAAAAAAUAUUGAAAUUAUUGAAAGAUUCCUUCGAUGAAACGAUUAAGAACUUGGAAACCAUUUUGCCACAAAUCACAGAAGAAAUUGUAAACGAACUUUUGAAACAAUCUGUGGUACAUUUGAAACAAGUCAGUGAUAUACCAAGAUUAUUUAGACGAACAAAAAGGGAUAUACCAACAAAACCAUGUGCUUACGUAAAAAAUAGUCUUAUAUUUCUAAUCAAUUUUCAUCGAGAGUAUAAUGAACUGAUACUAGAUGACGUUAAUCGCUGGUUGGAAUUAGCUCUAUCUUCAUUAACUAAACAUUACUUAGCUUCUGUAACAGAUGUAUUAACAUCGGUACAAAAAACUGAGGAAAGCUUGAGAAGAUUAAAAAAAAUACGCGAUAAAUCCACGGGUUCAUUUUCUUCUGAAGCACAAGGAAUCAGUGAUGAUGAAAAAAUACGUAUUCAGUUGCAAGUUGAUGUACAAGCUUAUGCCAACAUGAUUACAGAGAUGGAAAUUUCAAUUUCAAACGUGUCUCACGUGGAAGAAUUGUUACACGCUGUUGAAACAGCGAUCAAAAGAUAAUAUUCUUUUUUCAUUUUUUAAACGAACAGCAGCAACAACAACAACAACAACAACAACAACAAAAGUGAUACUUUUCAUUUGUUUGUUGCUUUGUCAGUAAACAUUUAAUGUAUUAUUUACAUAUAUAUUAUGUUUAUAUUACAAAACUCGUACUAGUAUGUUUUAACCGAUUUUGAUUGUGAAACAUGGAAUU